AGCGAACGCUGGCGGCAGGCUUAACACAUGCAAGUCGAGCGGGCCCUUCGGGGACAGCGGCAGACGGGUGAGUAACACGUGGGAACGUACCCUUUGGUUCGGAAUAACGCUGGGAAACUAGCGCUAAUACCGGAUACGCCCUUUUGGGGAAAGGCUUGCUGCCGAAGGAUCGGCCCGCGUCUGAUUAGCUAGUUGGUGGGGUAAUGGCCUACCAAGGCGACGAUCAGUAGCUGGUCUGAGAGGAUGAUCAGCCACACUGGGACUGAGACACGGCCCAGACUCCUACGGGAGGCAGCAGUGGGGAAUAUUGGACAAUGGGCGCAAGCCUGAUCCAGCCAUGCCGCGUGAGUGAUGAAGGCCUUAGGGUUGUAAAGCUCUUUUGUCCGGGACGAUAAUGACGGUACCGGAAGAAUAAGCCCCGGCUAACUUCGUG
Molecule: ribosomal RNA, 433 nt
Filed under: uncultured bacterium
Lineage: Bacteria
Description: partial 16S ribosomal RNA
Rfam family: Bacterial small subunit ribosomal RNA
Source: RNAcentral